RNAcentral lists this ribosomal RNA (484 nucleotides) under uncultured bacterium. RNAcentral describes it as "partial 16S ribosomal RNA". It matches the Rfam family "Bacterial small subunit ribosomal RNA", at positions 30 to 507 of the family's 1533-position model. The record is from RNAcentral.
AUUGAACGCUGGCGGCAGGCCUAACACAUGCAAGUCGAGCGGAUGAAGGGAGCUUGCUCCUGGAUUCAGCGGCGGACGGGUGAGUAAUGCCUAGGAAUCUGCCUGGUAGUGGGGGAUAACGUCCGGAAACGGGCGCUAAUACCGCAUACGUCCUGAGGGAGAAAGUGGGGGAUCUGCGGACCUCACGCUAUCAGAUGAGCCUAGGUCGGAUUAGCUAGUUGGUGGGGUAAAGGCCUACCAAGGCGACGAUCCGUAACUGGUCUGAGAGGAUGAUCAGUCACACUGGAACUGAGACACGGUCCAGACUCCUACGGGAGGCAGCAGUGGGGAAUAUUGGACAAAGGGCGAAAGCCUGAUCCAGCCAUGCCGCGUGUGUGAAGAAGGUCUUCGGAUUGUAAAGCACUUUUAGUUGGGAGGAAGGGCAGUAAGUUAAUACCUUGCUGUUUUGACGUUACCAACAGAAUAAGCACCGGCUAACUUCGUG